This is a long non-coding RNA of Amphiprion ocellaris (clown anemonefish), 1213 nucleotides long. Lineage: Eukaryota; Metazoa; Chordata; Actinopteri; Pomacentridae. The record is from Ensembl.
AGCACUGCGCAUGUGCGGGUGUACAGUUGAACUCAGGUGGCUUUUGGACCCAAAAUAAUUUUGUGGAAACACGUUUGCAUUAAAAUGAAACCAACAAAUGAACGCCAGCUACAGUAACGGCAGCGAAAAGGUUUGCGAACGGACAGACUUUAAACAGCAGAAGAGGCGGAGUAGCUAAAGACUGACUGUUUUGGUUUUAUUUUUUCGCGGAGCUAAUAUUAAUGCUAGCUAACAAUGCUAACAACAACAACACCGGCACGAAGCUGUGAAAUGACCCGUCAGCUCAUUGCACUGGAAUUAACUCUACUGCACGGAAGAAAGUCCAAGAAGAAACACCUGUUUCAAGUCUUAAAGUGCUUCUCCAGCGACUGGGGGUUGCUUGGUGCCGGAUGGAGAUGGUGGCUUGCCAUGAGUGGUCUGCGUAGGACUGGCGAGUGUGAUGGCCUGGACAUUGUUUACUCAGACUGAACAGCAAACUACCAAAGAACUACAGACUCUUCACAACCUGCUCAAACUCUUGGUACAGGACCUCACCACACAGGUCAAGAAGGUUUCCUUCUCAUUUCUACUCUGAAGCUCACCUUCUCCUGCUCAAAUUGCUGACAAAUGUUUCUGCUGCUCUAAAGUCUGGUCUCCAGAACUUCCUAAAAACUCUCAGAGUCUCUUCUGCUGCAGGUUGCUUUGUAGAACUGUUGCAGAAAACCUCACUAAACCACAUGGAGGGGCCUCAAGAUAGUCGUCCAAAUGAAACCAUACAAAAACCAAACUAGCACAACCCAAACGCUAAAGUCUCCUGCAGCCUACCAGAGAACCUCUGAGAACAGAGAAUCAGGACAGGAACUCUUACCUUCUGGACAACCAAUGCUGGUUCACAAACAAGAAUACAGAAUGUGUCUGACCAAAAACCUCUCAAGACUCACUACAGCCAAGAUAAAGACACAACUCAGCUGCACCAAAUCCACUAAUCACUGCACACAUUAGCACCAUGUGCUAACUGUGGCUAAAGAACAACAUUUACCAAGACAACUAUCCAGUACAAAGCCCUAAAACACACCAAGAAACACAUUAAAGAUGAUUUUACUGCUGGAAGCUGCAAGCCAACGCCUAAAGAACAAACUAAAGCAAAGGAGCCAAACCCGGUUCACUGGUGAAGAGAAACAGAGGAAAUGUUUGUCUGCAGCCACAUAAAGCAGGAAGACACUGAGCUGCUCAG